GACGAACGCUGGCGGCGUGCUUAACACAUGCAAGUCGAACGGAAAGGCCCUGCUUUUGUGGGGUGCUCGAGUGGCGAACGGGUGAGUAACACGUGAGUAACCUGCCCUUGACUUUGGGAUAACUUCAGGAAACUGGGGCUAAUACCGGAUAGGAGCUCCUGCUGCAUGGUGGGGGUUGGAAAGUUUCGGCGGUUGGGGAUGGACUCGCGGCUUAUCAGCUUGUUGGUGGGGUAGUGGCUUACCAAGGCUUUGACGGGUAGCCGGCCUGAGAGGGUGACCGGCCCACUUGGGAAUGGGAUACGGGCCCGAAUCCUUCGGGGGGCAGGCGGGGGGAAUAUUGCACAAUGGGGGGAAGGCUGAAGGCGGAACGCCGCGUGCGGGAUGACGGCCUUCGGGUUGUAAACCGCUUUCGCCUGGGACGAAGCGGGAGUGACGGUAAUGGGUAAAGAAGCACCGGCUAACUACGUG
Molecule: ribosomal RNA, 468 nt
Filed under: uncultured bacterium
Lineage: Bacteria
Description: partial 16S ribosomal RNA
Rfam family: Bacterial small subunit ribosomal RNA
Source: RNAcentral